AGGAAGGCAGGUACUGAACUGGUCCUCUGGUGGAAAGGGGUCACCCACACUGGGCUUGACUCUCACCAUCAGGGUCCUGUCAACCCUCCAGUGAGACUUUUUCAGAAGAAUCCCUUUUAAAAUGACCUCAGGCUGACCUUCCUGCUGCAGAUUCCACAUAUGGUAUCUGAGUCUCACACAGUGUGGUUGGAAGAUAGCACAGUGACCUCCCAGGCACAGCCCUCCGCCAGCUGCCCUAGGAUGCCGGCUUUCCUCCGGUGAGAGUUGAGCCCAGUCUGCUGUUGGCCAGAAGCAGCUAGCAAGCUCCCUGGGAGGCCUGGAGAAGCCCUUCUCACUCAGCUUGGUGUUCGAUGCCAAUGCCCCCGCCCAUUGUGGGGUGAGAGUAGGACUCUCAGGGCAGCCCUGUCCAAAUCCUCAAAAGCCCUCUU
This is a non-coding RNA of Saimiri boliviensis boliviensis (Bolivian squirrel monkey), 428 nucleotides long. The record is from RefSeq and is a predicted model, not a curated record. Lineage: Eukaryota; Metazoa; Chordata; Mammalia; Primates; Cebidae.